Molecule: ribosomal RNA, 460 nt
Filed under: uncultured bacterium
Lineage: Bacteria
Description: partial 16S ribosomal RNA
Rfam family: Bacterial small subunit ribosomal RNA
Source: RNAcentral
CCUACGGGAGGCUGCAGUGAGGAAUAUUGGUCAAUGGACGAGAGUCUGAACCAGCCAAGUAGCGUGAAGGAUGACUGCCCUAUGGGUUGUAAACUUCUUUUAUAUGGGAAUAAAAUGUUCCACGUGUGGGAUUUUGUAUGUACCAUAUGAAUAAGGAUCGGCUAACUCCGGGCCAGCAGCCGCGGUAAUACGGAGGAACCGAGCGUUAUCCGGAUUUAUUGGGUUUUAAGGGAGCGUAGGUGGAUUUUUAAGUCAGUUGUGAAAGUUUGCGGCUCAACCGUAAAAUUGCAGUUGAAACUGGCAGUCUUGAGUACAGUAGAGGUGGGCGGAAUUCGUGGUGUAGCGGUGAAAUGCUUAGAUAUCACGAAGAACUCCGAUUGCGAAGGCAGUUCACUGGACUGCAACUGACACUGAGGCUCGAAAGUGUGGGUAUCAAACAGGAUUAGAUACCCCGGUAGUC